CUGAAUUCUGGCUCUGCUGCUCUAGGGCUGGUUGACCAAGCAACUUUACCCCUCGAAGCCUCAGUUCACCUGGUCGGUGAAAGGGUACAGCUUACUAAAUGUGAAAGGUCAUCCUGAACAUUAAACCAGAGGACGCAGCAUUUACCAAGGGGUGGUGUGAAUUUCAUCAGCAGAAGGGGCAAGAGAGCAAACUUUCUAUUUUCAUGUAUUUCUUCUAGUGUAUAUUGGACACAAAUAGAAUGAGCCACAUCCUGUCAGUACUUUCAUGGAUGUUAUUGCUUCAGAUGACAUCGAGGUUAAAAAAAUGUCCCCAAAAGUUAAAAAAAGGUGGACGAAUAGUGGGGGAAGGAUUUUUUUGAAGGGGCAGAAAUGGUGAGAGUGGAUGAAUGGCCAAAGUGUAUCAGGAGCUCAUGUGAAGUGCUUAGCAUUGUCCUAAGGGCUCAGCAUGGCCUCCAGGGUGGGUAACUACAAACGAUGAUGAUGAUGGUGAUGAUGAUGAUGAUGGUGAUGGUGAUGGUGAUGAUGAUGAUGGUGAUGGUGGUGAUGGUGAUGGUGGUGAUGGUGAUGGUGGUGAUGGUGAUGAUGGUGGUGAUGGUGAUGGUGAUGAUGGUGAUGAUAGUGAUGAUGAUGGUGGUGAUGGUGAUGGUGGUGAUGGUGAUGAUGGUGGUGAUGGUGAUGGUGGUGAUGGUGAUGAUGGUGGUUAUGGUGAUGAUGAUUGUGAUGAUGAUGAUGGUGAUGGUGAUGGUGAUGAUGGUGAUGGUGGUGAUGAUGAUGAUGAUGAUGAUGGUGAUGGUGAUGAUGGUGAUGAUGGUAGUGAUGGUGAUGAUGAUGAUGAUGGUGAUGAUGAUGAUGAUGGUGAUGAUGGUGAUGAUGGUGAUGAUGAUGAUGUGGUGAUGAUGAUGAUGAUGGUGAUGGUGAUGAUGGUGAUGAUGGUAGUGAUGGUGAUGAUGGUGGUUAUGGUGAUGGUGAUGAUGAUGAUGGUGAUGGUGAUGAUGUGAUGAUGGAUGAUGGUGAUGAUGAUGAUGAUGGUGAUGGUAGUGAUGAUGGUGAUGGUGGUGAUGGUGAUGAUGGUGAUGAUGAUGAUGGGGAUGAUGGUGAUGUUGAUGGUGAUGAUGAUGAUGCUUGUGACUUUUUGUUGUUGAGGGGACACCUCCUGUGUUAUUGAGGAAUGCCAGUUCUUUUGAUUAAAUUAUUGUGCAACCUCAGGCAAAGUCUUCCCCCUUCCUGGGCUUGGACCACUCACCCACUUGGAGAUGUUAGUGGGCUACAGUUUCCUUUUAUUCUCCUGUGACUCUUAGGCCUGCCUGUUUUGGUUAGGUUCUGAAUGGUAAGGCUAUGUUGAGGCAACCUCUGUCCUCAAACCCUGGGGGAAACUUCUGGUAUAAAUACCAGGCCAGAGCCCAAAAAUGGGAACAUCUGGUUAAAGCCUGGCAGGGCCCAGCCACUGCUUCCCAGAGGUGAGAUGGACAUAAUAGUUCUUUUGCUAGACCCGGUGAUUUAUGUACCUUUCCUGGAAGCUCUGGUGUUUGCACUUGUUUGACGUAGGAGGCAGGGGGACCAGGAAGGUAUCAGGAAGAAGGUGUUUAAUGAGUUGGGUAACUAUUAGGUGAGCAGUAGUGAUGGCCAUAGACUGGGAGCUGGGCCAAGGGUAUCUCCCUAGCUGGGAGGUCUGAGAGGUUUUGACCAUAUCAGGGGCCCUGUGACAGCUGCUGCAAUCCUUACCCUUCACUCCAGAGUGUGCAGCUGAGCAACAAACUCACCUGAAAGGGAGAUACUAAUCCUCAAACUGCAUUACUGAAUCCAAUUCACAGCUUGUUUUACCUCUCCGGGAGCAGCUUGGAAUGGGGAGGAGAAGGCCGGGACUCAGAUCAGCCUUGGAUUCAAAUCCUGCCUCAUUAGCUGUGUGAUUUGGGGUGCUAUAUUUUGCCACUCAACCUCAGUAUCUUCCUCUGUAAACUGGAAUGAAUCAAUGCAGCUGAGAUUCCUGAAGAAAAGCCAAAGUUGGAUGGAGGUGGUUGUGGUUGGUACAAAUAUUGGGUAGCAGAGCAGAGAAGAGAA
Long non-coding RNA from Aotus nancymaae (Ma's night monkey), 2058 nucleotides. NCBI's taxonomy places the organism in Eukaryota, Metazoa, Chordata, Mammalia, Primates, Aotidae. The record is from Ensembl.